UUUGGGAGAUGAAGAUAAUUCAAAUAACCAUCUGAGGCAAAAACACUGCUGAAUUUAAUGGUUUGCACGUCAGUCUGAUCCUGUA
Cucumis melo (muskmelon) is the source of this 85-nucleotide non-coding RNA. The record is from Rfam. Lineage: Eukaryota; Viridiplantae; Streptophyta; Magnoliopsida; Cucurbitales; Cucurbitaceae.